AGCAGCCGCGGUAAUUCCAGCUCCAAUAGCGUAUAUUAAAGUUGUUGUGGUUAAAAAGCUCGUAGUUGAACCUUGGGCCUGGCUGGCCGGUCCGCCUCACCGCGUGUACUGGUCCGGCCGGGCCUUUCCCUCUGUGGAACCCCAUGCCCUUCACUGGGUGUGGCGGGGAAACAGGACUUUUACUGUGAAAAAAUUAGAGUGCUCCAGGCAGGCCUAUGCUCGAAUACAUUAGCAUGGAAUAAUAGAAUAGGACGUGUGGUUCUAUUUUGUUGGUUUCUAGGACCGCCGUAAUGAUUAAUAGGGACAGUCGGGGGCAUCAGUAUUCAAUUGUCAGAGGUGAAAUUCUUGGAUUUAUUGAAGACUAACUACUGCGAAAGCAUUUGCCAAGGAUGUUUUCAUUAAUCAGGAACGAAAGUUAGGGGAUCGAAGACGAUCAGAUACCGUCGUAGUCUUAACCAUAAACUAUGCCGACUAGGGAUCGGACGGUGUUAUUUUUG
RNAcentral lists this ribosomal RNA (497 nucleotides) under uncultured Paraglomus. RNAcentral describes it as "SSU rRNA". It matches the Rfam family "Eukaryotic small subunit ribosomal RNA", at positions 569 to 1071 of the family's 1831-position model. The record is from RNAcentral. Lineage: Eukaryota; Fungi; Glomeromycota; Glomeromycetes; Paraglomerales; Paraglomeraceae.